Molecule: long non-coding RNA, 239 nt
Filed under: Ananas comosus (pineapple)
Lineage: Eukaryota; Viridiplantae; Streptophyta; Magnoliopsida; Poales; Bromeliaceae
Description: long non-coding RNA (ACOM_LNC024419)
Source: RNAcentral
UAAACUACCAAAUUUAGCUCUAGGAGACGUAGUUUGUUUGUAUCACCGCAGUUUGUGGGCGGUGGAUACCCAGAAUAGUGUAGAAUAAUAUUACGCUCGUGCUGGAUGCCGAGCUUAUUUUUACAGUAUUGUUCAGAUUGUUCCAGAUUGUCGGGUGCCGUUGAGGUUGACGGUGGAUCCAGAUUACUGCUUUUGCAUCAGAUUGUGCUGAGGCCACGUGCGUUUUGGUUGUUAGACCA